Arachis ipaensis is the source of this 997-nucleotide non-coding RNA. NCBI's taxonomy places the organism in Eukaryota, Viridiplantae, Streptophyta, Magnoliopsida, Fabales, Fabaceae. The record is from RefSeq and is a predicted model, not a curated record.
UUGAUCCAUUGUUGUCUUGUGUACUGCAGAUCUCACUUCGCGUAGUCAUGGUCUUCCCCGCAGUCACAGUCGCAAUCGCCCUCUACGCAGUUUGUAGCUGCCAUCAUCCUCCGCGCAGUUCCCACCUGCUCACGGAGUAUUAUGGGAGUGGAGAGACAAAGAAAGUGUCAUGGAGAGAAUCACAACUCAAAGGGUUGCGUCGUUUUCUCAUUGAAAAAGAAGAAGAUAUUUUGAAGGCAUUAAUGCUCGACUUAGGAAAGCAUCAAGUUGAAGCUUUUAGAGAUGAGAUAGAAACUUUGAUGAAGUCCUUGAAUUUUGCAUUGAGUAACUUAAAAUAUUGGAUAUCAGGCAAAAAGGCUAAAUUGCCACAAAUAGCACUGCUUAGUAGUGCAGAAAUUGUUCCUGAACCUCUGGGCCUAGUCGUCAUUAUUUCAUCUUGGAAUUUCCCCUUUGGUUUAUCCUUGGAGCCACUAAUAGGAGCAGUAGCAGCUGGAAACACAGUGGUCUUAAAGCCUUCAGAGUUGUCACCAGCAUGUUCUUCCAUACUUGUCCUUGGACUUCCCAAUUUCUUGGACCUCCCAAUCAUAAGGAAGCAAUCUUCAGAGUUAUAGCUGCUAUUCUUCAUCUUGGAAACAUUAACUUUGCAAAAUCAGAGGAAGAAACUGAUUCAUCAGUUCUAGAAAAUGAAGAGUCCAAGUUGCAUCUCCAAAUAACCGCAGAACUUCUCAUGUGCGAUCCUAGUGCUUUGGAAGAUGCACUUUGUAAGCGUGUGAUGAUUACCCCAGAGGAAGUUAUUAAAAGAAGUCUUGAUCCUCUUGGUGCAACGGUUAGCAGGGAUGGUUUAGCCAAAACACUAUAUUCUUGUUUAUUUGACUGGUACUAUGUUAAUGUCAAGUGUAAAAUUAUGAAUUUAAAAUAUGAAAAAUGUGUCCUAUCCUAUGUUUAUUGCACUUAUGUUAUUUGAAUCUGAAUAAUUUUUUAUCUGUUCUAUUGUUAU